Molecule: long non-coding RNA, 601 nt
Filed under: Phoenix dactylifera (date palm)
Lineage: Eukaryota; Viridiplantae; Streptophyta; Magnoliopsida; Arecales; Arecaceae
Description: long non-coding RNA (PDAC_LNC017463)
Source: RNAcentral
AGCCGAGACAUCUCGCGUUGAAGCGGAGACGUCUCCGGAGCGCCUGGGACGCGAUUGACACCUUUUUGCAGGUUUGUUUGAAUUUCAAACGUUCCUUUUUUUGUGUCUAACGGCUAUAUUUGCUUUUUGGGCUAUAAAAGGGAGCUCUUAAGUGCCUUCCAACAACUUCUCACCAACCCAACACAAGAUCAUUCAAGAGAGAAGUAAGAGAAAGAGGUUCAAGGGAGUUAGUGCAUUCAAGUGAAGAAAUCAAGUGCUUUCAUGCUUUCCAACUGAUUUCGAGCUCAACUACUCUCUCCCGAUCGGCAUUCAAAGCUCACAUUCAAGACAACGCGAUCCACAUCGGAAGAACCACCAUUUCCCACGCUUCCAACGGCUAAAAGUGUUCUUCCGGGUUUUGUUAUUUCUCACUGUUUUAUCUGCUUAUUUAGAGCUUUCAAAUCUUUUGUAAAACCUUUGGUUAUUGUGCUUGUUCCAGUCAAGGGAUUUGGAACAAGGAAAAGGCGUCCCAAGCCUAGGUGAAAUUGGGGGUUGUAGGGUUCAUUGUUAGCCCGGUGUAAAACAACGAGUUGGGUAGUGCACUCGCAAAACUACCGGACUG